Molecule: transfer RNA, 73 nt
Filed under: Gaiellaceae bacterium
Lineage: Bacteria; Bacillati; Actinomycetota; Thermoleophilia; Gaiellales; Gaiellaceae
Also listed under: 2 other names
Description: tRNA-Arg
Rfam family: tRNA
About the family: Transfer RNA (tRNA) molecules are approximately 80 nucleotides in length. Their secondary structure includes four short double-helical elements and three loops (D, anti-codon, and T loops).
Source: RNAcentral
GCGCCCGUAGCUCAGUGGACAGAGCGACGGACUUCUAAUCCGUUGGUCGCAGGUUCGAAUCCUGCCGGGCGCA